GUUUGUUUGGAGUUAUAAGGAAUUUAGUCUGCCCCCUGAUAAAUUUUUUAAAGGGCCGCAGUAUUCUAACUGUGCAAAGGUAGCAUAAUCAUUAGGUUUUUAAUUGAAAUCUUGUAUGAAUGGCUGGACAAAAGAAAAUCUUUCUUUAUAUUAAAUUUUGAAUUUAACUUUUAAGUGAAAAGGCUUAAAUAACCCAAGGGGACGAUAAGACCCUAUAAAACUUUACAUUAUAAUUGGAAUUUAAUUUAAUUUAUUAGGAUAAAAAUUUAAUUUAAUUAUUUGUUGUGUUGGGGAGACAUAAGUAUAAUUUUUAUUUAACUGCUUUAUAGGUUUAACAAUUACAGUUGGGGUAUAAAGGAUCCUUUUUAAAGAUUAAUAAGUUAAGUUACUUUAGGGAUAACAGCGUAAUUUCCUUUAAGAGUUCUUAUCAAAGGGGAAGAUUGCGACCUCGAUGUUGAAUUAAAAUAUCUAUAUAGUGGAGAAGUUAUAUAAGAAGGUCUGUUCGACCUUUAAAUUUUUACAUGAUUUGAGUUCAAACCGGCGUGAG
Molecule: ribosomal RNA, 547 nt
Filed under: Pupamon nayung
Lineage: Eukaryota; Metazoa; Arthropoda; Malacostraca; Decapoda; Potamidae
Description: partial 16S rRNA
Rfam family: Bacterial large subunit ribosomal RNA
Source: RNAcentral